This 417-nucleotide ribosomal RNA is filed under the name uncultured bacterium. Its description in RNAcentral is "bacterial SSU rRNA". It matches the Rfam family "Bacterial small subunit ribosomal RNA", at positions 359 to 775 of the family's 1533-position model. The record is from RNAcentral.
AAUUGGUCAAUGGGCGCGAGCCUGAACCAGCCAAGUAGCGUGAAGGAUGACGGCCCUAUGGGUUGUAAACUUCUUUUAUAUGGGAAUAAAGUUUUCCACGUGUGGAAUUUUGUAUGUACCAGCUGAAUGAGGAUCGCCGCACUCCGCGCCAGCCGCCGCGGUAAUACGGAGGAUCCGAGCGUUAUCCGGAUUUAUUGGGUUUAAAGGGAGCGUAGGUGGACAGUUAAGUCAGUUGUGAAAGUUUGCGGCUCAACCGUAAAAUUGCAGUUGAUACUGGCUGUCUUGAGUACAGUAGAGGUGGGCGGAAUUCGUGGUGUAGCGGUGAAAUGCUUAGAUAUCACGAAGAACUCCGAUUGCGAAGGCAGCUCACUGGACUGUUGACUGACACUGAGGCUCGAAAGUGUGGGUAUCAAACAG